Long non-coding RNA from Planococcus citri (citrus mealybug), 685 nucleotides. RefSeq lists it as uncharacterized. NCBI's taxonomy places the organism in Eukaryota, Metazoa, Arthropoda, Insecta, Hemiptera, Pseudococcidae. The record is from RefSeq and is a predicted model, not a curated record. The transcript has 3 exons.
UCCAUUACAGGUACCGUUAUAUGCAGUACAGAGUACACAUUACACAUUCACACGUAGUCAAAGUCAAAUCUAAACGUAUCUCAAAUUAUUGUCUAUAGAUCAAAUUAGUGAUUGAUUCGAAGUUUUGUAAUAUUACAGUUGAGAUUUUCUAACAAGUGUCUCUUUCAAUAUGUUACGAUUUGUCACGACGAAACAAUUUAGCAAGUUUUUGGUUCGAGAUCGAGGUCUUCGAUUUAUCAGCUAUCUAAACUCGCUUCCAGAGAUACCGAUCAGUUACCCUUACUCGUUGGAAGACAUCCUGCUUCGAGAUACGAAUACACGUUUGAACAGAAUCGAGGCUAAACUGGAGAGGCUGGGGGUACAAAUGGAGGACUUGGAGAGGAAAAUUGAUCAGGCACUGCGGAACAGCUUACGUAGGUCUAAGACUGAUACUGAUAUGACAGAUUUCGCUCUCGGAGGAGUGGUGACACUGAUGACGGUGGUUAUACUAAUAUGUGGUUCAACUGUAAUUAGGAUCUGUUUGAAAUAGUAAACAAGAAUCAACAAUCAACAAUAUUAUUUACUACAUAUACCUACCUACGUAUAGGUAGAAGUACUAUAAUUCGAUUAUAAUCUGUAGGUACAUAUACGAGUAUAAACACUUGCAUUGUACAUUAUAGCUUUCCAAUAAACGAUCAUGUUUGUA